GCUGCAGACCAAAAAAGACAUUCAACAUAUGUGUCGCAAUGCACUAUUAUAGUUUUUAUGAUGUUAUGACUCUAAAGAUAUAAAUACUAAUUAAUUGCACUAGGUAGCAUACUGUAUUGUUAGAUAUUGAUAAUGUUUAUUGUAGAUAAUAGGUCUAUGAAAAAUAUAUGACCUUUGUGCUAAUUUAAGACACAAACAGUUAUGAAAAAAGAAUACCAAUCCAAAUCUUGACUAAUUACGGUAUAUAUAUUAUACUUUGUGUGUUUUACAGAGUGAAUGAGGUUCUUGUUAAGGAUAUGAGACAUUUUUUUGUAGAGCUUAUUUAUAGCUUGAGAUUUUUUUAUACAUUUUACAAUGAUAUUUUAUAUUUAAUGUAUAUUACUAUAGCUGUCUAAAACUUGAACUUACCAAUAUGCAAUUUCAUCAAAUGCGGGCAUCUGACCAAAAUGACAUGCUAUAAAAAUAAGUUAAG
Pelobates cultripes (western spadefoot toad) is the source of this 472-nucleotide non-coding RNA. The record is from the annotation of a GenBank genome assembly. Lineage: Eukaryota; Metazoa; Chordata; Amphibia; Anura; Pelobatidae.